UAACCCCCCGUGUUUUUCCUUUCCAACCGCGAGUGAUCGGCAAAAGUUCUAUUUUGAAAUCUGGCACCUUCGGUGCCCGAGUUGUUUUUGGAGAGGGUACUUUGGGGCCGUUCCUUGUCUAUGUUCCUUGGAACACGACGUCAUAUAGGGUGAAAAUCCCGUGUGGCGAGGAGUGCCGUUCUUUGUAAAGUGCCCUCGAAGAAUCCAGUUGUUUGGUAAUGCACCUCUACAUUGGCGGUCUAUUCCCUUUAAUUCUAAAUACCGCCCACAUACCGAU
This 277-nucleotide ribosomal RNA is filed under the name Saccharomyces cerevisiae (brewer's yeast). RNAcentral describes it as "partial 26S ribosomal RNA". It matches the Rfam family "Eukaryotic large subunit ribosomal RNA", at positions 62 to 338 of the family's 3401-position model. The record is from RNAcentral. Lineage: Eukaryota; Fungi; Ascomycota; Saccharomycetes; Saccharomycetales; Saccharomycetaceae.